UACGUAGGGUGCAAGCGUUGUCCGGAAUUAUUGGGCGUAAAGAGCUCGUAGGCGGUCAGUCGCGUCUGCUGUGAAAACUCGGGGCUUAACUCCGGGCCUGCAGUGGGUACGGGCUGGCUAGAGUGCGGUAGGGGAGACUGGAAUUCCUGGUGUAGCGGUGAAAUGCGCAGAUAUCAGGAGGAACACCGGUGGCGAAGGCGGGUCUCUGGGCCGUAACUGACGCUGAGGAGCGAAAGCGUGGGGAGCGAACAGG
Molecule: ribosomal RNA, 253 nt
Filed under: uncultured bacterium
Lineage: Bacteria
Description: partial 16S ribosomal RNA
Rfam family: Bacterial small subunit ribosomal RNA
Source: RNAcentral